Oncorhynchus tshawytscha (Chinook salmon) is the source of this 1903-nucleotide long non-coding RNA. The record is from Ensembl. Lineage: Eukaryota; Metazoa; Chordata; Actinopteri; Salmoniformes; Salmonidae.
AAUAUUCCCUAGCCUAGAAUAUUCCCUAGCCUAGCCUAGAAUAUUCCCUAGCCUAGAAUAUUCCCUAGCCUAGAAUAUUCCCUAGCCUAGAAUAUUCCCUAGCCUAGAAUAUUCCCUAGCCUAGAAUAUUCCCUAGCCUAGCCUAGAAUAUUCCCUAGCCUAGCCUAGAAUAUUCCCUAGCCUAGCCUAAAAUAUUCCCUAGCCUAGCCUAGAAUAUUCCCUAGCCUAGCCUAGAAUAUUCCCUAGCCUAGCCUAGAAUAUUCCCUAGCCUAGCCUAGAAUGUUCCCUAGCCUAGCCUAGAAUAUUCCCUAGCCUAGCCUAGAAUGUUCCCUAGCCUAGAAUGUUCCCUAGCCUAGAAUAUUCCCUAGCCUAGCCUAGAAUAUUCCCUAGCCUAGAAUAUUCCCUUUCAUUUAAAAGUAGAGAAUUAUGUUGUUUAUUUUCUUUUCAUUUGUUUGUUUCUUCAUAAUCCUACUGCUGGCAAUGGAGGAGAAAGGUGUUGAUGCAUGUUCCUGAUUGGUUUCCAACUCUGUUUCCGGUCUCUUGUUAAUACGAUGAGGUAAUCUGCCAACUCAUUACGUUCAGCACAUAGUUAACUAUGAACUGUUCAUCCCUCUGGAGAACUAAGGUUGUAUUAAUUCAUCACUGAUGUAGGCAGGCGACCCAAAAGGUAAGGCACCCUAUUCCCUAUAUAGUGCACUACUAUUGACCAGAGCCCAUAGGGCUGUGGUUAAAAGUAGUGUAAUAUGUAGAGAAUAGGGUGCCAUUUGGAGCACACACCAUAGAGUGAUUAUAGGAGUAGUAUCUCUCUAGAGCAGUAUCUUACUCGGUGAGCAUACUGACAAAAUAAGGAAGCCUUGUCCAAGCCAGAGCGAACCAAGGGGCAGGAGCCUGUGUCCUGUUUCUGAAGAGUGAGGCAACUUAAUGUACUAGUACACCCCCUGGACAGGACACUAGUCUGUCUGACUAUACUGGUAUAUAUUACUGUACUAGUACACCCCCUGGACAGGACACUAGUCUGUCUGACUAUACUGGUAUAUAUUACUGUACUAGUACACCCCCUGGACAGGACACUAGUCUGUCUGACUAUACUGGUAUAUAUUACUGUACUAGUACACCCCCUGGACAGGACACUAGUCUGUCUGACUAUACUGGUAUAUAUUACUGUACUAGUACACCCCCCCUGUCUGACUAUACUGGACACUAGUACUCCUCCUGGACAGGACACUAGUCUGUCUGACUAUACUGGUAUAUAUUACUGUACUAGUACACCCCUAGUCUGUCUGACUAUACUGGUAUAUAUUACUGUACUAGUACACCCCCUGGACAGGACACUAGUCUGUCUGACUAUACUGGUAUAUAUUACUGUACUAGUACACCCCCUGGACAGGACACUACUCUCUGACUAUACUGGUAUAUAUUGUAUAUUUGAUUGUGUUGACAUAUUGUGACGACCAGAGGUGUCACAACCCAACCACUGUCACGUGACCUAUACCUACAGGGAAGAGCUUCUCUGUCGUAUUGUGUUUGCACUGGAUCAAUGUGAACGAAUGUAUACAAUGUUAUGUUGUAAAUGUGCCUGGUUUUGUACCCCAUGUUUAUCCAUGUGUAUUGGUUGAUAUGAUAAGCUAUGUGUUAUGUAUGUAAGUUAAAAAAAAAAAAAAGCUAAACAUUGUUUUGAAUAUAUGAUCACAUUAAUAAUACCGAGAAUAUGCAACCAUGUUAAAUAUGCUAAUCAUGUAUAAUAAAAUAAGAAUAUAGAUACAUCUAGCUGACAUUUUGAAUGAGAUAUUCCCCAUAAUGCACUAUAAACAUUUUGAAUGAGAUAUUCCACAUAAUGCACUAUAAACAUUUUGAAUGAGAUAUUCCCCAUAAUGCACUAUAAACAUUUUGAAUGAGAUAUUCC